RNAcentral lists this ribosomal RNA (468 nucleotides) under uncultured bacterium. RNAcentral's name for it is "partial 16S ribosomal RNA". It matches the Rfam family "Bacterial small subunit ribosomal RNA", at positions 28 to 507 of the family's 1533-position model. The record is from RNAcentral.
GACGAACGCUGGCGGCGUGCUUAACACAUGCAAGUCGAACGGAAAGGCGCUGCGUUUGUGGGUUGCUCGAUUGGCGAACGGGUGAGUAACACGUGAGUAACCUGCCCUUGACUGAGGGAGAACUUCAGGAAAAUGGGUAGAAUACCGGAGAGGAGCUCCUGCAGCACGGGGGGGGUAGGAAAGUGUCGGCGGUUGGGGAUGGACUCGCGGCUUAUCAGCUUGUUGGUGAGGUAGGGGCGGACCACGGCUUUGACGGGUAGCCCGCCUGAGAGGGUGACCGGCCACAUUGCUCCUGCGAUACGGCCCAGACUCCUACGGGCGGCAGUAGUGGGGAAUCUUGCGCAAUGGGCGGACGUGUGUUGCAGCAACGCCGCGUGCGGGAUGAUGUCUUUCGGGUUGUAAACCGCUUUCGCAUGUGACGAAGCGUGAGUGACGGUAAUGGGUAAAGAAGCACCGGCUAACUACGUG